CUGAGGACAGGUGUCAAUCCAUAUCUGCCAAGUGACCCUAUGUAGGCGGAACAGUCUCUAUUCUGCUCUGUGUCAGUGUGUAUCAUGAUCUCUGAGGACAGGUGUCAAUCCAUAUCUGCCAAGUGACCCUAUGUAGGAGGAACAGUCUCUAUUCUGCUCUGUGUCAGCGUGUAUCAGGGGCUCUGAGGACAGGUGUCAAUCCAUAUCUGCCAAGUGACCCUAUGUAGGAGGAACAGUCUCUAUUCUGCUCUGUGUCAGUGUGUAUCAUGAUCUCUGAG
This is a non-coding RNA of Pelobates cultripes (western spadefoot toad), 278 nucleotides long. Lineage: Eukaryota; Metazoa; Chordata; Amphibia; Anura; Pelobatidae. The record is from the annotation of a GenBank genome assembly.